CAUUCUGAAUUCAUGAAAGGGCCACCUUGUAAAAUCAUGCAAUCACUUCUACUCCAGUACAACCCCUCUAAACACAUUAAUGAAAGAGAUCUCUCCACAUCCCUACAUAAUAAAGGGUAAAAUUGUAUUUUCUUAAAAUACACCGCCCUCCCUCUAAAUAUAGAAGUGACGCGUUCUCAGUGAGCCGGGCCGGUCGAUUACAGAGUGGGUACUAUAAACUAUAACACGGAUUGAAAUCCAAAAAUAUUGUGCACCUACAAGGUAUCGAACAAGGGACGUCCAUGGAUUAUGAACUCACUCGUGAGAGACCGCCCGACCCCCACGCCGCUCCGCUCGGGGCCACUCGGCCACUCGGGUGGCGAUGAAACCUAGCCGCCGACCCUACCAUCCCGCCUCCCCCCUCGCCGUCGCCCGAGGAGACCUCCAGCGCAGCCUGCGUGGUCAUCAAGGACGGCGUGGCCGAGGAUCUGGUUGCUCCCGGUCGGAGGGUUCAGGACGCCGAGGCGGCGGCCUCGGAUGGCGCGAUGGCGCUGUCUUCUGUAGAAAGCGGCGUCGCAGGUGGUGCCCCUCUAUUUCCUCCGCCGCUAGGGUGGCGAGGGACGACAGGAGCUUUCGCCGAUUGCAGCUGGCAUUGCGCCCUCCUCGCUUGCGGCCGAAUCUAAAGGUGGCCUCUUUCCCACCCGCUGCACUUUGCCCCGCCGAAUCUGGUCGCCGGUGGCCUCUGGUCACCGGUGGCCUCUAGUCACCGGAUCCGUUGUUGGGCUGCCUGGAGCUGCGAACCGAAUCGGGAGAAAUCUUUGGCUGGUUUCUCUAGCCACGAUGGCGGCGACACCGCCCGAUGUCGUUCUCCUCCUCGGAGGCAUCGUCGAGGUUCGGGCCCUCUCCCUCCCGCUCCUUUCCCAGGAGAAAUCCCUUGUCUUGCUGAGACUAGACGGCAACGACGCGUCGUGCGUGGUCUCCUUCUUGAAGGUGCCAGCUUGGACAAGGUGGGAGAGUGCAGGAGUGAUGCGCGGUGGUGGCUGGGUAUGUUGGGUCAUCGCUCAUCGGCGAGGGAUUUGGAGCAUGGUUCUUUGUGUUUGAAUUAGUGGAGGGGAUAGGGGUUAUCUCUAUUGUUGGCAGCAGCAAGAUGCGAUACCAGGGACACACAACUGCCUGCAGGCUGAUCUGAUUCCAGUUGUGGAUGCUCCAUUUUCUCGUUGUUUGUUUGUUUAGUGACGGAUCCCUUGUGCAAUUUUCCUCUCAAUGCUUGCAACAGUAAGCCACAGUAUGGACUUUCGUCUGGUAUUCUUCGUGCAGCGGUAUGUCGAGCUAAGUAUAUGCUUUGGUGCCCGGAACCAUGUCCAUUCCUUGCUCUAGGGGGAGCAAUUCCAUCUUCCGGCAGCCCGACGCCUUUCGAGCCAAGGUGAGGGGCAGGGGUCCCCUCUGGAUUUGGAGAGGAGCGGUUACGAUGGUCACCUUCCAAGGUAGACGAGGGCUCGGUUCUGCUAUAUUGGGCAUUGGCUGUGUUUGAAGUUCCUCUCAAGAUCACUCCAAGGACCCCGUCGACUACAAGAUAGUGCUUUUUUCUGAUUACUUCUAUAGGGCGUGUAGUCUUUGGUGCUUGUAAGCUGCCCCGGCAUCACCUUGUAUCUGUUGUUUUUUUGUUGUUCCCAGUUGGUUGUAAGGGUGGCUUUGUGUAAUUCCGGUGGUUUGAUGGCUUUGUUAAUUCAAAGCCGGGCUUUUCUCGAGCCUUCAUUA
Hordeum vulgare subsp. vulgare (domesticated barley) is the source of this 1737-nucleotide RNA transcript. RefSeq lists it as uncharacterized. The transcript is spliced from 2 exons. NCBI's taxonomy places the organism in Eukaryota, Viridiplantae, Streptophyta, Magnoliopsida, Poales, Poaceae. The record is from RefSeq and is a predicted model, not a curated record.